AUUUGUACAAGUACCUUCCGGGAAUAUCAUCACCUGUAGAAGAAAAUUGUUAAUUUGAUUUAAAUAUUUUCUAAUAAGGGAUCGAAGAUAAGACUUUAUUGUGCGAGAUUCAAAAGAUUGUACACAUUUUCAAGCGAGAUGAACGAUUACCUUGCGAUUCGAUUUAGAGCGCUAUGUAAUUUUAAAAAAAAUUAUACCUAAAAAUUAUAUAUAAAAUUAUUAAAAAAAUAUGCGUUUAAUUUAAAAAUUAUACGUUACGCUACUGUACUUGAAAAAUUUAUGCGGAUCAUAAUAUGAAGAGUAAUUUUUAGAAAAUAAGCGACUGCAGCGAGUUCAUAAGCUUAUUUUUAAUAAAGAUAAUAUAGUGGCGAAUGGGACAAUCCAUAAAGAAAUUAUUAUUAAAUUUAUCUUUUUUGGAAAUUUCUUCCAAUUGAUAAAAGAUACACUUGAAGCGUUAUUUGUACAAGUAACCAUUAAAUUACCAGUGAUAUCUGCAUACAAUAGGCGUUAAAACUUUCAUUAAAGCUAUCGAUAAAACAGUUGAAAAGUUUUAACGUUUAUGUUAUCAAAUCAUUAUACUAUUAUGUCUUUUUAUUGCUACAGGCAUCGGUAAACUAUUUCUUAUUGAAAUGGUUGGGCAUCCUUUUGAUCAAAGUUCGAAGACUUCAUGAUUUUCCAAUUAAACUAAUAGAGGUUUUCAAGUGUGAGUCGUAUUCUUUUACAAGAUAAUGAGACGAAAUACAGGAACCGAAAACUCAAAACAUAAGUAUUCGUAUCGAUUCUAUUUAUAAGUAAACGAGACUGUCGAUAUAGUUGAUAGUAAUACAUAAAAUCAAUUUUCAUGAUGAAAACAAUCGAAAGACUGUAAAAUAUCAAAACUAUGCGGUGUAUUGAAAAAAGAAGAAAACUUUGAGAAAAAGGAAUAAAGAGCGUUUUAAUCGAUGUGGGUUCUAAUAUUAAUAGCUUCGGUGUAAAAUAUAAUUUUAUACAGUCUUGUAGAAAUACUUAAUGAGCUAAAUUUGCACCACAACAACGUUAGUUAACGUAGUUAAGUUAGAACAAUGAAUGAAUGAAUGGGAAAUGUGUACACCACGAGGUGAAAGAAAACUUCAAAUGAAUAGAAAUUUCACGUCUACGAACGUUGUCUUCGAAUUGCAGAUGCGAAAUGUAAAUUUUGACAGUACUAAAGAAAUACCACGAGAUGGAACAACGACUCUGGUGGCUUGACAGAGCAAAAAGUAGGAGACCUACUUCCGAAAAAAGGAAUGCGUCCGAUCUCUGCCUUGGCGACGAUGCUCGGUCCGCCGAGGUAAACAACCGGAAGUGCAUCGAAGAAGCUUGAAUGCGGAGCUAGGGCUAACACGGGGGCAUCCUUUGUUUCCGCUUUACGACCUUUGACCUUCAGGUGAUGAAAUCCCCCGCAGAUGAACAAUGCUCGUAUCAUCCAGCAGAUUAUAAUUCUCAUAUCUCUGUUUUUUCCAUUUUUUUGUUUGUAGUAAAUAUAUUUAAAUAAUAUUAUUUGGUAUAUAUAAUUCUACUAGUUGCUACAUCGUGCAAUCUAUAUUUCCCAAUUUACGAUAUUCAGAACGAUCGUAAAAUUCAGUAGAAUUUCGUUUACAACAUGCAUUAUUCGACAACGUCCUCUAUUUAUAUCUUUCUUUUUUUUUUCUUUUCUAUCAAAUGAAAUUUAGUAAUGUAGAAUAGUCGUGGAUUAAAGAUUUUUGUAGUUCUAGCGAAGAAACUGCAUGAUAUGCAUGUAUAAAUUUAUUAUUUUCCUUUUGGUAACCGAGAUUCUACUGUGCUGAUUAAAAUAAAUUUUUUAUGAAAUUAUUUAUAGCCAAUAGUUAAACUGAUGUAGAAAUGAGGUUAUGCAUAUUGUUUCGAUUAAAAUCGUUACUCGGUUGAUUGGAGGAAGAUAUUCCAGUAAAUGGCAAAAUGAAUUCAUUUUGUACACGUAAUAUAUUUUCGCACUUAUUGUAACAUGCAAAGCAUUUUAACUACUCGAUAUAUUGAUAUUACAAGACAUGCAUGGCCUUUCUCCAAAUCAUUUUGAAAAUUUUUGCGAUAAGAAAAUAAGGAUAUAAUAAUUUUCCUUAAAAGAAAGACUUACUAUGAUAAACAAAAUACACAUUCGUUAGCAUCUACGAAAGAUAACAAGUGCAUUUGCGAAACAAAAAUGUUUA
This is a long non-coding RNA of Bombus impatiens (common eastern bumble bee), 2183 nucleotides long. RefSeq lists it as uncharacterized. The transcript is spliced from 4 exons. Lineage: Eukaryota; Metazoa; Arthropoda; Insecta; Hymenoptera; Apidae. The record is from RefSeq and is a predicted model, not a curated record.